RNAcentral lists this ribosomal RNA (497 nucleotides) under uncultured bacterium. Its description in RNAcentral is "bacterial SSU rRNA". It matches the Rfam family "Bacterial small subunit ribosomal RNA", at positions 773 to 1262 of the family's 1533-position model. The record is from RNAcentral.
AGGGAAUAGAUACCCAGGUAGUCCUGGCAGUAAGCGGUGCACGUUUGGUGUGGGCGCAAUCGACCGCGUCCGCGCCGGAGCUAACGCGUUAAACGUGCCGCCUGGGAAGUACGGUCGCAAGAUUAAAACUCAAAGAAAUUGACGGGGACCCGCACAAGCGGUGGAGUAUGUGGCUUAAAUUCGAUGCAACGCGAAGAACCUUACCUGGUCUUGACAUGCAUUGUGUCUCCGGUGAAAGCCGGAUAGGGUAGCAAUACCCGCUUUGCACAGGUGCUGCAUGGCUGUCGUCAGCUCGUGUCGUGAGAUGUUGGGUUAAAGUCCCGCAACGAGCGCAACCCCUGUGAUUUGUUGCCACCGGCUUAUGCCGAGCACUCGAAUCAGACUGCCUCGAUCAACGAGGAGGAAGGUGGGGAUGACGUCAAGUCCGUAUGGCCCUUACGGACCAGGGCUGCACACGUACUACAAUGCCCAGUACAAUGUGAACCGAGACCGCGAGG